Molecule: long non-coding RNA, 927 nt
Organism: Equus asinus (donkey)
Lineage: Eukaryota; Metazoa; Chordata; Mammalia; Perissodactyla; Equidae
Source: Ensembl
GUUCCAGAAAGACAUAUACUAAAUGAUCUUCUUUGUGUGGUGGUUUAUGAGUUUUUGAAUAAUACUUUUUUGAAUUAUGUUCAAAACAUGUUACCUGCUGCGUUCUGUCUACUGAGAGAGCAAAGGAAGAGGAAAUGGCCGUGUACAGAGUUUAAUUGAGACGUAAGAAGAAUUUCCUGAAGGGUGACCAUGUGACACAGUCCUGGCCAAUAAGAUGUAAGCAGAAGCCACUGUGUGGGUCUUCCAGGUACCAGAGGUAUCCCUUUUGCCCUUUACUCUUCCUUCCUCCUCUAGCCUAGAAUGUAGACAGGAUGCCUAGAGGUGCUGGCCAUCGUGUAACCUGAGAACAAGGGCCACCUCUAAAGCUGGUGAGGGGGACGCCUGUGUGCCUGAUGGCAUUGUGGGACUGCAAGACUAGCCCUGGACUGCCUAAUCUAGGCUCCUUGCAUGAGAACAAGAAAACCUUUAAGCCACUGGUGUUUCUUACUAGCAGCCAAACACAAUGCCUGCCUGAUAGAUAAUCUAAGCCACUUAUUUCGCAGAGAGGAGACAGAGACUCAAGAAAGUUCCAUAAAUCCGGGCAGGCUGUAUCAAGUUAAAACUUUCUCCCUCUGGAAUGACAGAAAACCCAACCCCAGGCCUCUUAAGCAAAAAAAAAAAAAAAGAAUUUAUCAAUUCAGAUAAUUAAAGUCAGACGUGGCUUCCUCCAGAGACUCAAAUGAUUUUUUUCACGUUCUGGUUUUUCUCUCUCCCCAUCUCUUGGCAAUGCUUCCUCUGCUCGCUCCACUUCAGGCAGGCUCUUUCCUCUUUGUGGUAAGGUGGUGCCAGCAGCUCCAGCCUUACCCCACCCAGGAUUAAGUCUGGAAGGAAAGCAAAAACUUCUCCCUGGAGGAAAACCACAAUGCUCAGGAAAAGUGUGACUGCCUG